UGCCAGACUCCUACGGGAGGCAGCAGUGGGGAAUAUUGCACAAUGGGGGAAACCCUGAUGCAGCGACGCCGCGUGGGUGACGAAGUAUUUCGGUAUGUAAAGCCCUAUCAGCAGGGAAGAAGAUGACAGUACCUGACUAAGAAGCCCCGGCUAACUACGUGCCAGCAGCCGCGGUAAUACGUAGGGGGCAAGCGUUAUCCGGAUUUACUGGGUGUAAAGGGAGCGUAGGUGGCAUGGCAAGCCAGAAGUGAAAACCCGGGGCUUAACCCCGCGGAUUGCUUUUGGAACUGUCAGGCUGGAGUGCAGGAGGGGCAGGCGGAAUUCCUGGUGUAGCGGUGAAAUGCGUAGAUAUUAGGAGGAACACCAGUGGCGAAGGCGGCUUACUGGACUGUAACUGACGUUGAGGCUCGAAAGCGUGGGGAGCAAACAGGAUUAGAUACCCUGGUAAU
RNAcentral lists this ribosomal RNA (449 nucleotides) under uncultured bacterium. Its description in RNAcentral is "bacterial SSU rRNA". It matches the Rfam family "Bacterial small subunit ribosomal RNA", at positions 329 to 794 of the family's 1533-position model. The record is from RNAcentral.